CAUUUUUUACAUUUUUUUUUUUAUUUGAAAAUUUUGAAAAUGACACUAAUUCAAUACCAAAUUACGGCACUAUUUACAUUGGUUCAUCACUAGCCAAGUUACUAAAAAAAAAUAUACGACUAAAAGCCGUACACCACAGUCUUAUUGAGUUUUAUUAUCGAAGUUGAAAUAAAAUAUUGUUUCCCCGAUCGGUUUAACAAUUAUGAAGUUUAUCAGCUUUUAAAUAAGUAUAAAAACGUACCUACCUGAGAGCCGCGCCACACAUAGCGGUUGAAACGCGCGCGGUUGAAAUGUGGUGUUUCAACCGCCAUGACUAAUUGCAACCACACUAGGCGUUUCGACGCGCUAUACAAAUAAAAAUAGAUUAUAUGACGACUUGGAUGUUGUCGUGGCACUUUAGUAGAACGAAAAGAGUGGUUCUAACUCAUAAGCUUGUGUAUGACCAUGUGCAAGAGCUGUACCUAUAACAUGGCAGCCC
Molecule: non-coding RNA, 478 nt
Organism: Cinara cedri
Lineage: Eukaryota; Metazoa; Arthropoda; Insecta; Hemiptera; Aphididae
Source: the annotation of a GenBank genome assembly